RNAcentral lists this ribosomal RNA (472 nucleotides) under Streptococcus mitis. Its description in RNAcentral is "bacterial SSU rRNA". It matches the Rfam family "Bacterial small subunit ribosomal RNA", at positions 28 to 486 of the family's 1533-position model. Lineage: Bacteria; Bacillati; Bacillota; Bacilli; Lactobacillales; Streptococcaceae. The record is from RNAcentral.
GACGAACGCGGCGGCGUGCCUAAUACAUGCAAGUAGAACGCUGAAGGAGGAGCUUGCUUCUCUGGAUGAGUUGCGAACGGGUGAGUAACGCGUAGGUAACCUGCCUGGUAGCGGGGGAUAACUAUUGGAAACGAUAGCUAAUACCGCAUAACAGUAGAUGUUGCAUGACAUUUGCUUAAAAGGUGCAAUUGCAUCACUACCAGAUGGACCUACGUUGUAUUAGCUAGUUGGUGGGGUAACGGCUCACCAAGGCGACGAUACAUAGCCGACCUGAGAGGGUGAUCGGCCACACUGGGACUGAGACACGGCCCAGACUCCUACGGGAGGCAGCAGUAGGGAAUCGUCGGCAAUGGACGGAAGUCUGACCGAGCAACGCCGCGUGAGUGAAGAAGGUUUUCGGAUCGUAAAGCUCUGUUGUAAGAGAAGAACGAGUGUGAGAGUGGAAAGUUCACACUGUGACGGUAUCUACCAG